AGUUCAUAGUUUCGGUUGUAUUACACUCACACAUUGUAUUGUUCAAAGUGUAAAGGUUUGUUGCUGUGUAUCGAGCUUGUGAAACAAGGGAACAAGGGGACUAGUUAGCUAGAAGAGUAUACUUGGGAAGUAUAGGUCUUGGAGAGCUUUUGGUUCGUGGUUCAGGGGUUUCAGCAAGCUGAUAACAGGAACAAGGGAUAAAGGGAGUUAUAUUAUUGAAUCAUUGUAAUCGUUAACAUUAUUGAUUAAUAAUAUAAUCUCUUACCAGUUGGUAGGGGACCAGGACGUAGACCAUUAGGGUUAGGGGUCGAACCUGGCUAAAAUUCU
Molecule: long non-coding RNA, 327 nt
Filed under: Daucus carota (carrot)
Lineage: Eukaryota; Viridiplantae; Streptophyta; Magnoliopsida; Apiales; Apiaceae
Description: long non-coding RNA (DCAR_LNC002150)
Source: RNAcentral